Diceros bicornis minor is the source of this 139-nucleotide small nucleolar RNA. RefSeq annotates it as small nucleolar RNA U109. The transcript has a single exon. The record is from RefSeq and is a predicted model, not a curated record. Lineage: Eukaryota; Metazoa; Chordata; Mammalia; Perissodactyla; Rhinocerotidae.
GAGCGCGGCCAGUGGAUGGGCGUCCCGCUUCUCUUUCAAGAGCACGGAUUUAUCCAAACCGUGUGACAUGAAUGAAUGAGUUUUCAGGGCUGCCAACCUCUCAGUUAAGGUUUUGCAGUAGUAUAUUUCUAAUACAAUA